This is a small nucleolar RNA of Arachis stenosperma, 231 nucleotides long. RefSeq annotates it as small nucleolar RNA Z112. The record is from RefSeq and is a predicted model, not a curated record. The transcript has a single exon. Lineage: Eukaryota; Viridiplantae; Streptophyta; Magnoliopsida; Fabales; Fabaceae.
UUCCCUGUGAGGAAGAUCUCCCAAAAAUUGAUAGGAAGUGCCGUAUGACACUCCAAACAGCAGCGUCGUGUUCAUUACCAACCAGCAAUGUCACGAAAGCAACGCUUUUUUCUCAUCCACCGAUGGCAAAACCCUAAUUCUGCCGUUGGUCGAGAAAAAUUCACUGCUUUUGCGGCGCAGGUUGGUUUGUCCCACGCUGUGUGUGUGAUUUGAAACGGGUCUCUGAGGGUU